GCACUUCCAUAUUAAUACCAAAUGAAAUUAAAAAAUAAUAAAAUUUGCACAUAAAUAAUAUUCUCUCCUCUUUAGUCUUUAUCAUAUUGGACCCUCUCUUCUACAAAAGCUAUGCUCUCUGUAUCAAUUGCCUAUAAAUCAAAGCCUGUGGGAUACAAAUCUACAACAUAAAACAAAAUCCACAACAAAAUAAUUACUAAGUAAAUCCUAAUUUAUAAUCACUGUUAGAAAAAUCUAUUUUUAUGAUUGUAAACGUCUUUAAAAUGAAAAGUGAAUACUCAUAUGCUUUUUCCUAUGAAUGAUUACAGACUUUACAGUAAGAAAUUAAAUCAAUUUGGGCAAUUCCCAAAUCUGUGUUUAGAGAGGUGAGAGACACAACCCACAUAUCAUGUUUUCCAAUAUUAUUAUGUCAUGCAACCAAUAGUAUUUAUUGUGGGAGCUUCAAACUAGAAAUUCAAAUGGAUCAAUAUGAAGACAUCAACCCAAAUUAAAACUUUUCAUGCCCUAGACUUGGUCAUAUUUGACCUUUCAUUUUUUUAGUCCCUCUAUAGAAUCAAAAAGCAAACUCAUUUAUGUAUUCACUAAGGAAAAAUAGAAAUUGGAGAAGAAAUAAA
Molecule: unclassified non-coding RNA, 614 nt
Filed under: Hevea brasiliensis (rubber tree)
Lineage: Eukaryota; Viridiplantae; Streptophyta; Magnoliopsida; Malpighiales; Euphorbiaceae
Source: RNAcentral